Molecule: ribosomal RNA, 458 nt
Filed under: uncultured bacterium
Lineage: Bacteria
Description: partial 16S ribosomal RNA
Rfam family: Bacterial small subunit ribosomal RNA
Source: RNAcentral
CCUACGGGAGGCAGCAGUGGGGAAUAUUGCACAAUGGGCGCAAGCCUGAUGCAGCGACGCCGCGUGCGGGAUGGAGGCCUUCGGGUUGUAAACCGCUUUUGUUCAAGGGCAAGGCACGGCCUUUGGUCGUGUUUAGUGGAUUGUUCGAAUAAGCACCGGCUAACUACGUGACAGCAGCCGCGGUAAUACGUAGGGGGUAAGCGUUUUCCGGAUGUAUUGGGCGUAAAGGGCGCGUCGGCGGUUCGUCGCGUCCGGUGGGAAACCCCAGCGCUUAACGGUGGAUCCGCGGGGGGUACUGGCGGGCUUGAGUGCGGGAGAGGUGACCGGAAUUCCCGGUGUAGCGGUGAAAUGUGUAGAUAUAAGGAAGAACACCAGUGGCGAAGGCAGGUCACUGGGCCGUUACUGACGGUGAGGAGCGAAAGCGUGGGGAGCAAACAGGAUUAGAUACCCGAGUAGUC